This 491-nucleotide ribosomal RNA is filed under the name uncultured bacterium. RNAcentral describes it as "partial 16S ribosomal RNA". It matches the Rfam family "Bacterial small subunit ribosomal RNA", at positions 29 to 506 of the family's 1533-position model. The record is from RNAcentral.
AGUGAACGCUGGCGGUAGGCCUAACACAUGCAAGUCGAACGGCAGCACAGUAAGAGCUUGCUCUUACGGGUGGCGAGUGGCGGACGGGUGAGGAAUACAUCGGAAUCUACUUUUUCGUGGGGGAUAACGUAGGGAAACUUACGCUAAUACCGCAUACGACCUACGGGUGAAAGCAGGGGAUCUUCGGACCUUGCGCGAUUGAAUGAGCCGAUGUCGGAUUAGCUAGUUGGCGGGGUAAAGGCCCACCAAGGCGACGAUACGUAGCUGGUCUGAGAGGAUGAUCAGCCCCACUGGAACUGAGACACGGUCCAGACUCCUACGGGAGGCAGCAGUGGGGAAUAUUGGACAAUGGGCGCAAGCCUGAUCCAGCCAUACCGCGUGGGUGAAGAAGGCCUUCGGGUUGUAAAGCCCUUUUGUUGGGAAAGAAAAGCAGCAGGUUAAUACCCCGCUGUUCGGACGGUACCCAAAGAAUAAGCACCGGCUAACUUCGU